UCCUACCACAGGGCUGAGUGAUGGUGAUUCCCUUAUUAAACUGCACUUAGAGGCAGCGACUGUCAGGCAGGGAUGGAGAGCUUCUCCGAUAAGUUGGAGCUAUUCAUUAUUAAAUUAUCUUCAUUCACUUGAACAUCUCAUUUUCAUUGAAUUAGAUGAAAAGUGCUCAAAGGCAGCUGCUGCGGCUGCUCGGAGGCUGCCAGGAGCGGCGUGCAAAUGUCGCUGCCGGCCUUUCCUCCCGCACCGGCUGCGCCUCACCCUUUCCACGGGACGGCUGGACCUCGCGGACGGUGUGAAUCUCCUGGAGGUAGCUGAGGGGGUCGCACCAGCUGAUGGUCCCACCUUGGAGAUCUGGAUUCACCAGCUCUGGGAGCUGGAGCGGGAGAGCUCAGAAGAACACCUGGCUGCUACUCAAUCCCGAAUGUUUCCGGAGCAGCCUACAACCUCACCGUAAAUCUCACCCGCAGAAACCGCUUUGAUCAACGCGCUUGGAUUUCAGCCUUCAGCCGUGAUCAAGGCAGGGGGAGAGACGAGAGCAAGUACUCGCAGGCUCUUUGGGGACGGUCUAGAAAACGAAGCUGGUUCUCCAAGAAAAAAGCCCGCUUCAAAGAGCCUUUCUGAGAGCGCUGCUCCCAACACCACUGCCGAGCCUCGGGAGAGAAGGAAAUCGCUUUUUAACGGAGUUUCAUGGGCUUCGGGGGAGCCCCCUGAUUUACGGCCGAUGAGGAGAAGGCUUGGAUGGAGCAGGCAUGAUCCCAGCAGCCUCCUGGGAUUUAUUUUUUUCACAGCCCUGGACACUAUUUGGGGUGGUUUAUAUGCCGUAAUAUUUUUUUAUUUUCUUUUUUUUUUUUUUUUUUUGCCGUUAUGUCGGUGAACCAACCGUAGAAACUAGUUUGGGAAAACAACGUGGGAGAUGAUAGAUACGUCCUCGGUGGCAUGGGCUCCCCCAGCGAUGAAAUGGGCUACAGGUGGAGAAAAAGGUCCCUGAGACCCUUUUCUCCUUCAAUUCCCAUCUCCCUGCACGGAUCGAUAAUGCCGGGGGCAAGGAAAGGGCGAGGAGCCGUGGCGGGGGGAAUCGUGUUAAAGGAAAAGCUGGAAGGUGGUGCCCAGCGUGGUAACUGCCGCUGGUUUUGAGGCGGAUCGGCUGGGGGGGUUUGUGCGGCCUCGUAGGGAGCAGAGGCUGCUGUGGGCUGGGGGAGCGCUUUUAAAAAUCAUUUGAGUGAUUUCUCUCCUCCUUUCUUUCCAUCCGGUCGGGCUCCGCUCCCGCUAUGCGUGUCGGGAGCGAAAGGUCCGGCUUGCAGCUCUGUCUGUCUGUUUUUUCACAGAGCUUUGCCCUCCGGGGGACAUCCCUCCAAAAUUCACCGACCAUCUCAGGAGCAGAGCCAGGAGGUCCCCGGGGAGCACCGUCCCGGGGCGGGGGGGGGUCAGGCUCUGGCCCGAUGAGGUAAUUCCUCCAGCCGGGCUCCUGGCCGUGAAUCAGCAAUGCCCCUGGCCCCGGCGCUGCUGAUUUACACCGUCUGCAGUGGCACCCCGGGGCAGGACACCCGUAUUUAAUGGACGGGGGUACCGCUGCCGGCAGCGGCGGUUCCCAGCGCUGAGCUCGGGGAGGUGAAAGCAAUUUGCCGUCGGCGUCCCCUGGUUCCCUACGAGUUUCUCUCUGCUUGCAGAACGGGAUGCUGU
Molecule: long non-coding RNA, 1680 nt
Organism: Grus americana (Whooping crane)
Lineage: Eukaryota; Metazoa; Chordata; Aves; Gruiformes; Gruidae
Exons: 4
Source: RefSeq, a predicted model, not a curated record